AUGAUAAGUCAAGGCAGGAUUUGUGUUUUUAGUUUUCUGCUUAAGUCAGUUGAGUUGGGCUUAUAUUUCAUUCCCUUUAACCAAGAUUCCUAACAAAUGCAAGGUCUCUUUCCAUCAGGGAAAGCCUGUUUGAGGAAGAGCGAACAUAAAACAAUCCCAGAGAAGAGAGGAAAUAAAGGGAUCGGAGAAGCUGAUGAGAAAGUCAACAAUCACAACAUCUCCACAGUUGAACCCGUCCACCUCACAGCUCCAGGAAAGGCAAUCCCAUGACUUAUGACUAUCACUCUUGGAUGUGGUUGACUGACUACUUCAUGGAGACAUUAUGUGGUGGGAAGGACUGACUGAGACUUAUUUGCUGAGCCAUGCAACACUUGAAGGAGGCUUUGUGUAGUGAGAAGUCACAUGUACCAUUGGGUUAAUUAUCUUAACAUCACAACAUGUAUUAGCUCAUUAAUCUGCAAUUUGUAUGCCAGCUUCAUCAGGUCAGUGGAGAAGGUCUAAGCCUAGAGGUCAGGAGCUGCCUGGGCUCCUCUCCGGUCAGCAGCUGACACUGGCUGACUGCCAUUAGCACAGACCUUAGCUGGAGCUAUCUGAUAAGACAGCCAUGUAUGACCACUCCACGAGGCCACUUAGAUUCCUUACAGCAUUGCGCUAGGUCAAAGGUGUCUCGGGAGAGUCGGGGAGAUGCUAUACCUUCUAAUAUCACCUAGCCUUGAAAGUCACCUAAUGUCCUCCUGAAAGUCACUUAAAGUUGAGAGGAGCCAUGACUCACAACCAUGGGUUGAAGGAAGACACACUGGCUGAGACCCUUGGGAGCCUUUGACCAACCCUCCAGCUCCUUCUCCACUUAGCUGUCACACAGUCACAUUUUGAGAGUGUAGAAGAACAAGGCAGAAGUGGACUACAUCCAUCCUUGAGUUAUCAGAAGAUGGCAUGGAAAGCCGAGAACAUCACCUUCCUGGGAAAAAGGAAUCGCUCCUUCAGCAAAAGGCACACGAGGACAACGCAAGUCUGUCUCUUUCAUCAAGAUUCGCCAGGGGCUUGUGAAAAAGGCCUUUGCCUACAGAGCUUCAGCUAAAUCUCCUGCAGAAGGGCCAUCUGUGCUCCCAGACAACCACCUCCAAGCUAAGGACAAUCACUGCAGAGCUAAGCUGUAGCUCCUCACCCAGCCCCCUACCCCCAGCCCCAGGCUAGAUGCUGUCCUUAGCCUGCAUGACCCUUGACUGCAUGACAGCUAAGCUACUCUCAGCUGUUCUGAGACUCCCAGCAGCUCCUAGAUGUCCUCAUCGCAGGCCCGGGGACACCUGAACCAACUCUCCCUUUCUCACAUCUCAGACUGUCCUUUCCCACCCCCGCAGUCCUGCCUUGGUGCUUCUCUGAAGCCCAGCAGGAUAAGGGCAGUCAAACUCCCCAAUCUCCCGAGUAGAGUGGCCAGCCAUGCCCCGAGGCCAGCAGAAUGCAGAACCAACAGCGGGAUGCAGUUACCUUUUUGCCUCCUUUCCCUAUCCUGGUGUUAAAAGCAUGUGCCACCUCAUCUGGCUUUAUUAUAUGAAUUUAAGGAAUCAAAAUCAGGUUGUCUUCAGGCUGGUAGGGCAAGCAGCUUACCAUCUGAACUGUCUCCCUCACUCAAGAGAAACAACUAUCUUCUUUUUAAAGCAUAUUACUUGAAUAUGUUUUGAAAAACCGCAAGGAAAUAUUUGCUAGAAAUAAUACAUCAUUGCCAAGGUAUUUAUAAACCUAUGAGUAGUUUAGAGGAAGUUUAAAGAUGCCUAGAAAAUAUCUCUAGCACUUGAACAUGAUAAUAAAGUAAGAAUGGAUUUGGAAAAGGAAGGUUUGUGACUCAGCCGUGCUAGGUGGCUGAGUGGGCCGAGUCUAUUCAAGUUUUCCUCCCUAGAUGGAAUGAGAGAUGGGGAAGCUGGGGCAUGGGUUUUGUGUUAACAUAAAAGAUCCAGAGGAGACAGGUAACCUUUAUAUUGCCCAACUUCUACCAGGCAAAAUCUAAUAACACAGAGGUAGGAACAAAAUGUCAUUUUGGGAGACAUAAUAAUAGACCCAAGUCAUGUGGUCUCAGCUGUAGAAAUUGUGAAAUGUUCUGUUUGUUCUACAGGAGCAUAAACAUUACAGACUGUGUUUCAAGAUGAAAAAUCUCAAAGCAAAAAUAAAAAUUUGGUUGCCAAUCAUCUAUCUUGGUGGCUUUUCCUUUUGCUAUGAUAAAAAUACCUGACAAAAGCAACUUAAGGGUACAGAGUUCAAGGUUAUGUUCAUCGUUAGGGAAGGCUCAGCAGCAGGGGCUUACAGCAGCUGGCCACAGCACAGCUGCAGUCAAGAAGCAGAGAGUGAGGAUAUGCAAAAUCAGCUUUUAGCACUGGUUCAUGUGUUCCAGGAUCUGUGCCUAGACCUCAUGCCAUUCACGUUGAUGGGUGCUCCCACCUCAAUUAGCCACUCACAGAGUCCUCCACAGGCACAGCCAGCCCAUGCCCAGUGACCUAGAUGAUUCCACAUUCGAGUUGACAACUGAGACUAACCAUCGCACCCCCUCAUGGAGAAGCCUGCAGUAGUCAUUUCCACUUAGCACUCACCUCAGAGAUAGUAAACGUGGAACUAGCAAUUCUACUGAUAUAUGCCAAGAAGAACUGGACACAGGACCUUAAUGGUGGAUAGCCCAUCAGGUAAGGGCAUUUACUGCUAAGCAUGAUGGCCUGAGUUUGAUUCCCGAUACCCACAACUAAUGGGAGCUAACUCCCAUUAGUUGUCCUCUGACAUACACACAUACACACAUGCUCACACACAUCACAGACACACACAGUAAAUAAGUAAAAAUGUAAUUAAAGAAUAUUUGCAUACUAAUACUCAUAUAAAAAUAGAUGGGAAGG
Molecule: long non-coding RNA, 2873 nt
Organism: Mus musculus (house mouse)
Lineage: Eukaryota; Metazoa; Chordata; Mammalia; Rodentia; Muridae
Product: predicted gene, 30958
Exons: 3
Source: RefSeq, a predicted model, not a curated record